RNAcentral lists this ribosomal RNA (497 nucleotides) under uncultured bacterium. RNAcentral's name for it is "partial 16S ribosomal RNA". It matches the Rfam family "Bacterial small subunit ribosomal RNA", at positions 28 to 507 of the family's 1533-position model. The record is from RNAcentral.
GAUGAACGCUGGCGGCGUGCCUAAUGCAUGCAAGUCGAGCGGACGGACGCGAAGCUUGCUUCUCUGAUGUUUGCGGCGGACGGGUGUGUAACACGUGUAUCACCUCCCUAUAAUACUGGGAUAACUUCGGGACACCGGAGCUAAUACCGUAUAAUAUUUUGAACCGCGUGGUGCAAAAGUGAGAGACGGUCUUUCUGUCACUUAUAGAGGGAUCCGGGCUGCAUGAGCUAGUUGGUAGGCUAACGGCUUACCAAGGCAACGAUGCAUAGCCGACCGGAGAGAGGGAUAGGCGACAUGGGAAGUGGGACACGGACAAGAGUACUGCGGGAGGCAGCAGAAGGGAACGUGAGGCAACGGGCGAAAGCCUGACGGAGCAAGGCCGCGUGAGUGAUGAAGGCGUUCGGAGCGUAAAACCCGCUUAUUAGGGAAGAACAUAUGUGUAAGGAAACGUGCAGAUAGUGACGGUAACUAAUAAGAAAGCACCGGCUAACUACGUG